Long non-coding RNA from Hemibagrus wyckioides, 5207 nucleotides. RefSeq lists it as uncharacterized. The transcript has 3 exons. NCBI's taxonomy places the organism in Eukaryota, Metazoa, Chordata, Actinopteri, Siluriformes, Bagridae. The record is from RefSeq and is a predicted model, not a curated record.
GUUACACACACACACACACACGCACAAUGUGUAUGCCAAGGGUACCCACUAUUAUUGAUCCUUAAUUAUUGAUGAAGUCGUUAAACACAAACAGCAUUAAGGUGAACAUGUGCGUAUCCAGACUACACCACCUGCUCUCUCCAUCAGGGUUCUGUUGAGGGACUUUCUACUUCAUCCACAUAGAAAUUCUCAUCAUUGUCAAUGAUCAGGCCUACUACAGAAACAGCUGGAAACUUCACAGUGGUGUUGGACAUAAGAGUGGCUACACAAUUGUGUGUUAAUGGAGUAGAGCAGAGGGCUUAGAACAACCUUAGGGAGCUCCAGUAUUGAGGGUAAGGUUGUUGAAGGUUAAGGUACUUUCUGCAGCUGACCAGUUAAAAUGUCCAGAACCCACUGGUAGACUAACGAACACAGGCCCAGCACCCUGAUAUAAUCCAACAGACUGAAGGGGACUACAGUGUUGAAGGCUGAACUGAAGUCUCACAGAGUUUUGCUUCACAUGUGAAGAUGAGAUGGGGUGGAGUGCAGGACAUGGGAGAUGGUGUCAUGGCCUGACUUUUUAGAUCAGUAAGAGUUUGUCUAGCUUGCUGAUUAGAGAGGACAGGUGUAGUGUGUGUGAUGAGUAGAGAGGACAGGUGUAGUGUGUGUGAUGAAUAGAGAGGACAGGUGUAGUGUGUGAUGAGUAGAGAGGACAGGUGUAGUGUGUGUGAUGAAUAGAGAGGACAGGUGUAGUGUGUGAUGAGUAGAGAGGACAGGUGUAGUGUGUGUGAUGAGUAGAGAGGACAGGUGUAGUGUGUGUGAUGAAUAGAGAGGACAGGUGUAGUGUGUGAUGAGUAGAGAGGACAGGUGUAGUGUGUGUGAUGAAUAGAGAGGACAGGUGUAGUGUGUGAUGAGUAGAGAGGACAGGUGUAGUGUGUGAUGAGUAGAGAGGACAGGUGUAGUGUGUGAUGAGUAGAGAGGACAGGUGUAGUGUGUGAUGAAUAGAGAGGACAGGUGUAGUGUGUGAUGAGUAGAGAGGACAGGUGUAGUGUGUGUGAUGAAUAGAGAGGACAGGUGUAGUGUGUGUGAUGAAUAGAGAGGACAGGUGUAGUGUGUGAUGAGUAGAGAGGACAGGUGUAGUGUGUGAUGAGUAGAGAGGACAGGUGUAGUGUGUGAUGAGUAGAGAGGACAGGUGUAGUGUGUGAUGAAUAGAGAGGACAGGUGUAGUGUGUGAUGAGUAGAGAGGACAGGUGUAGUGUGUGUGAUGAAUAGAGAGGACAGGUGUAGUGUGUGAUGAGUAGAGAGGACAGGUGUAGUGUGUGAUGAAUAGAGAGGACAGGUGUAGUGUGUGAUGAGUAGAGAGGACAGGUGUAGUGUGUGUGAUGAGUAGAGAGGACAGGUGUAGUGUGUGAUGAGUAGAGAGGACAGGUGUAGUGUGUGAUGAGUAGAGAGGACAGGUGUAGUGUGUGUGAUGAGUAGAGAGGACAGGUGUAGUGUGUGAUGAGUAGAGAGGACAGGUGUAGUGUGUGAUGAGUAGAGAGGACAGGUGUAGUGUGAUGAGUAGAGAGGACAGGUGUAGUGUGAUGAGUAGAGAGGACAGGUGUAGUGUGUGAUGAGUAGAGAGGACAGGUGUAGUGUGUGAUGAGUAGAGAGGACAGGUGUAGUGUGUGAUGAAUAGAGAGGACAGGUGUAGUGUGUGAUGAAUAGAGAGGACAGGUGUAGUGUGUGAUGAAUAGAGAGGACAGGUAUAGUGUGAUGAGUAGAGAGGACAGGUGUAGUGUGUGAUGAGUAGAGAGGACAGGUGUAGUGUGUGAUGAGUAGAGAGGACAGGUGUAGUGUGUGAUGAAUAGAGAGGAAAGGUGUAGUGUGUGAUGAAUAGAGAGGACAGGUGUAGUGUGAUGAGUAGAGAGGACAGGUGUAGUGUGAUGAGUAGAGAGGACAGGUGUAGUGUGUGAUGAGUAGAGAGGACAGGUGUAGUGUGUGUUAUGAGUAGAGAGGACAGGUGUAGUGUGUGUUAUGAGUGGAGAGGACAGGUGUAGUGUGUGAUGAGUAGAGAGGACAGGUGUAGUGUGUGAUGAGUAGAGAGGACAGGUGUAGUGUGAUGAGUAGAGAGGACAGGUGUAGUGUGUGAUGAAUAGAGAGGACAGGUGUAGUGUGUGAUGAGUAGAGAUGACAGGUGUAGUGUGUGUUAUGAGUAGAGAUGACAGGUGUAGUGUGAUGAGUAGAGAGGACAGGUGUAGUGUGUGAUGAGUAGAGAGGACAGGUGUAGUGUGUGUUAUGAGUAGAGAGGACAGGUGUAGUGUGUGAUGAGUAGAGAGGACAGGUGUAGUGUGUGAUGAGUAGAGAGGACAGGUGUAGUGUGUGUUAUGAGUAGAGAGGACAGGUGUAGUGUGUGAUGAGUAGAGAGGACAGGUGUAGUGUGUGAUGAGUAGAGAGGACAGGUGUAGUGUGUGAUGAGUAGAGAGGACAGGUGUAGUGUGUGAUGAGUAGAGAGGACAGGUGUAGUGUGUGAUGAGUAGAGAGGACAGGUGUAGUGUGUGAUGAGUAGAGAGGACAGGUGUAGUGUGUGAUGAGUAGAGAGGACAGGUGUAGUGUGUGAUGAAUAGAGAGGACAGGUGUAGUGUGUGAUGAGUAGAGAGGACAGGUGUAGUGUGUGAUGAGUAGAGAGGACAGGUGUAGUGUGUGAUGAGUAGAGAGGACAGGUGUAGUGUGUGAUGAGUAGAGAGGACAGGUGUAGUGUGUGAUGAGUAGAGAGGACAGGUGUAGUGUGUGAUGAGUAGAGAGGACAGGUGUAGUGUGUGAUGAGUAGAGAGGACAGGUGUAGUGUGUGAUGAGUAGAGAGGACAGGUGUAGUGUGUGAUGAGUAGAGAGGACAGGUGUAGUGUGUGAUGAGUAGAGAGGACAGGUGUAGUGUGUGAUGAGUAGAGAGGACAGGUGUAGUGUGUGAUGAAUAGAGAGGACAGGUGUAGUGUGUGAUGAGUAGAGAGGACAGGUGUAGUGUGUGAUGAGUAGAGAGGACAGGUGUAGUGUGUGAUGAGUAGAGAGGACAGGUGUAGUGUGUGAUGAGUAGAGAGGACAGGUGUAGUGUGUGUUAUGAGUAGAGAGGACAGGUGUAGUGUGUGAUGAGUAGAGAGGACAGGUGUAGUGUGUGAUGAGUAGAGAGGACAGGUGUAGUGUGUGAUGAAUAGAGAGGAAAGGUGUAGUGUGUGAUGAAUAGAGAGGACAGGUGUAGUGUGAUGAGUAGAGAGGACAGGUGUAGUGUGUGAUGAGUAGAGAGGACAGGUGUAGUGUGUGUUAUGAGUAGAGAGGACAGGUGUAGUGUGUGUUAUGAGUAGAGAGGACAGGUGUAGUGUGUGUUAUGAGUAGAGAGGACAGGUGUAGUGUGUGAUGAGUAGAGAGGACAGGUGUAGUGUGUGAUGAGUAGAGAGGACAGGUGUAGUGUGUGAUGAGUAGAGAGGACAGGUGUAGUGUGUGAUGAAUAGAGAGGACAGGUGUAGUGUGUGAUGAGUAGAGAGGACAGGUGUAGUGUGUGUGAUGAGUAGAGAUGACAGGUGUAGUGUGUGUGAUGAGUAGAGAUGACAGGUGUAGUGUGUGAUGAGUAGAGAGGACAGGUGUAGUGUGUGUUAUGAGUGGAGAGGACAGGUGUAGUGUGUGAUGAAUAGAGAGGACAGGUGUAGUGUGUGAUGAGUAGAGAGGACAAGUGUAGUGUGUGAUGAGUAGAGAGGACAGGUGUAGUGUGUGAUGAGUAGAGAGGACAGGUGUAGUGUGUGAUGAAUAGAGAGGACAGGUGUAGUGUGUGUUAUGAGUAGAGAGGACAAGUGUAGUGUGUGAUGAGUAGAGAGGACAGGUGUAGUGUGUGAUGAGUAGAGAGGACAGGUGUAGUGUGUGUUAUGAGUAGAGAGGACAGGUGUAGUGUGUGAUGAGUAGAGAGGACAGGUGUAGUGUGUGAUGAGUAGAGAGGACAGGUGUAGUGUGUGUUAUGAGUAGAGAGGACAGGUGUAGUGUGUGAUGAGUAGAGAGGACAGGUGUAGUGUGUGAUGAGUAGAGAGGACAGGUGUAGUGUGUGAUGAGUAGAGAGGACAGGUGUAGUGUGUGAUGAGUAGAGAGGACAGGUGUAGUGUGUGAUGAGUAGAGAGGACAGGUGUAGUGUGUGUUAUGAGUAGAGAGGACAGGUGUAGUGUGUGAUGAGUAGAGAGGACAGGUGUAGUGUGUGAUGAGUAGAGAGGACAGGUGUAGUGUGUGUUAUGAGUAGAGAGGACAGGUGUAGUGUGUGAUGAGUAGAGAGGACAGGUGUAGUGUGUGUGAUGAAUAGAGAGGACAGGUGUAGUGUGUGAUGAGUAGAGAGGACAGGUGUAGUGUGUGAUGAAUAGAGAGGACAGGUGUAGUGUGUGAUGAGUAGAGAGGACAGGUGUAGUGUGUGAUGAAUGGAGAGGACAGGUAUAGUCUGUGAUGAGUGGAGAGGACAGGUGUAGUGUGUGAUGAGUAGAGAGGACAGGUGUAGUGUGUGAUGAGUAGAGAGGACAGGUGUAGUGUGUGUUAUGAGUAGAGAGGACAGGUGUAGUGUGUGAUGAGUAGAGAGGACAGGUGUAGUGUGUGUGAUGAAUAGAGAGGACAGGUGUAGUGUGUGAUGAGUAGAGAGGACAGGUGUAGUGUGUGAUGAGUAGAGAGGACAGGUGUAGUGUGUGAUGAGUAGAGAGGACAGGUGUAGUGUGUGAUGAGUAGAGAGGACAGGUGUAGUGUGUGUUAUGAGUAGAGAGGACAGGUGUAGUGUGUGAUGAGUAGAGAGGACAGGUGUAGUGUGUGAUGAGUAGAGAGGACAGGUGUAGUGUGUGUUAUGAGUAGAGAGGACAGGUGUAGUGUGUGAUGAGUAGAGAGGACAGGUGUAGUGUGUGUGAUGAGUAGAGAGGACAGGUGUAGUGUGUGAUGAGUAGAGAGGACAGGUGUAGUGUGUGAUGAAUAGAGAGGACAGGUGUAGUGUGUGAUGAAUAGAGAGGACAGGUGUAGUGUGUGAUGAGUAGAGAGGACAGGUGUAGUGUGUGAUGAAUGGAGAGGACAGGUGUAGUGUGUGAUGUGUUUCUUCAUCACCACAGAGGUUAGGGCCACUGGACAGUAAUCAUUCACCUCAGAUGGAGUGUGGGACUUUAGCAGAGGAAUAAUAGAGGAUCUCUAAGCAGUAUUAAAGGUAUUAAUGUGUGUGUGUGUGUGUGUGUGUGUGCGUGUUUGUGUGU